UGGGGAAUAUUGCGCAAUGGGGGGAACCCUGACGCAGCCAUGCCGCGUGAAUGAAGAAGGCCUUAGGGUUGUAAAGUUCUUUCGGUAUUGAGGAAGGUUGAUGUGUUAAUAGCACAUCAAAUUGACGUUAAAUACAGAAGAAGCACCGGCUAACUCCGUGCCAGCAGCCGCGGUAAUACGGAGGGUGCGAGCGUUAAUCGGAAUAACUGGGCGUAAAGGGCACGCAGGCGGUUAUUUAAGUGAGGUGUGAAGGCCCCGGGCUUAACCUGGGAAUUGCAUUUCAGACUGGGUAACUAGAGUACUUUAGGGAGGGGUAGAAUUCCACGUGUAGCGGUGAAAUGCGUAGAGAUGUGGAGGAAUACCGAAGGCGAAGGCAGCCCCUUGGGAAUGUACUGACGCUCAUGUGCGAAAGCGUGGGGAGCAAACAGGAUUAGAUACCCUGGUAGUCCACGCUGUAAACGCUGUCGAUUUGGGGGUUGGGGUUUAACUCUGGCGCCCGUAGCUAACGUGAUAAAUCGACCGCCUGGGGAGUACGGCCGCAAGGUUA
Molecule: ribosomal RNA, 547 nt
Filed under: uncultured bacterium
Lineage: Bacteria
Description: bacterial SSU rRNA
Rfam family: Bacterial small subunit ribosomal RNA
Source: RNAcentral